GGGGAAGUCGUUCAACGGUAGGACGCAUGAGGGGCCCUAGCUGUCUCAUUCAUUUGACAUGCGAAAGGUGGCAAACUCGUUAUUGCCGGUACCAUUCAAUUCAUGAGAUGUGGUGUUCGAUUCCCACCUUCUCCA
This 135-nucleotide transfer RNA is filed under the name Fulvia fulva CBS 131901. RNAcentral describes it as "tRNA-Und (NNN) (tRNA-Und-NNN-10-1)". Lineage: Eukaryota; Fungi; Ascomycota; Dothideomycetes; Mycosphaerellales; Mycosphaerellaceae. The record is from RNAcentral.